Long non-coding RNA from Brassica napus (rape), 4834 nucleotides. RefSeq lists it as uncharacterized. The record is from RefSeq and is a predicted model, not a curated record. The transcript is spliced from 4 exons. NCBI's taxonomy places the organism in Eukaryota, Viridiplantae, Streptophyta, Magnoliopsida, Brassicales, Brassicaceae.
AGCAAAUAGAGGAAUAUCUAUUUUUUAGAAUUUUCCAUUUAUUUGUUUGAAUUGAAUUAACCGAAAGUGAUUAACAAUAAUGUUUUAUAGGAUUGGUGGGGGAAACACCUUACCAUAUCCACUCAACAAUUCAAAUUUGAAAUUCAAAUUAGCUCCACAUUAUUAUUAUUCCGUUAUGUCAUUUCAUUAUUCUAUAUGUUAUGUCAUUUUCUUAUAUCCCCAUUGUAAAACUUUUUGUUUUCUCAUAUUUUAUUCAUGGUAAGGAGUAAUGACGGAAGUCAUUUUUGGUGAGCUAGACUGACUCUUGUAGAUGUGACGGUGCACGAACUAUGUUUAUGAAAACUUAUACGUUGAUAAGAUCAGUAGAUGUACGUAUUUUAGAUACAUAGAUCGUAGGUAGAUACAAACAUUUACCGUAUGGGUAUAUUUAUUGGAAAAGGCAGGUCCUCACUCGCAGAGAGAAGAUAACUUACCAUGAGUUUUGAUAUCUUGCUCCCCAUUUGAGUUUUGAUGAAUACAGGAAACUGGACGCAGGAUCAGAUGUAUCACUGAAACCAAUGGUUCUGAUAAUAACCUUAAAACAUUACUUCAUAACAUCUAAAAUGAACCAUUUACAUUAUUCCAUGGAAUUCUUAAACCUGGUAUACUAUACUAACAGAUUUAAGCUGUAAAUAAAUAAAAAACUGAUUAUACAAUUGAAUCAAGUUGAAAUAUAUUAUACCACAUAUUUGAUGUUAAGAAAAAAAACAUUUAAAUAACUUGUAAUGUGAUGUAGUCGUGAGUAAAUUGUAAAUAAAAUAUAUAUUUGUUUAUCCAUUCGCAAAUGAGGCUCCAUAUUAGAUUUUGAGGAAGGCGAGCCGAGUCAUUCAAUAGAAUACUUUAUACUAUGUAUAUUAAUAUUUACAAGACGAGUUAUAAGAAAAGGAUAUAUAUUAAACCAAGAAGACGCAAGAUCCAAAAUCUGCAACUUUGAUGUGUAUGUUAGUGAAGAAGUAUCAGCAUUUGUUCGAUCUCCGCCUAGAUACAAGUAAUAUUCUCACAUUACGUAUUUUUGUAGAUUAUUUUGUAUUUCUUUUCUAGUUCUGACUUGUAUAAUUGUGCAUUUCUAUGUAUAUCUAUAUUUUAUAUUUUAUAUAAUAAUAUAUACUAUUCAACUACAUAAUGUUUGAGAAAAACACUUUUGAGACAUUAGUAUGUCAAGAAGGACCUAUUCAAAACAGACAGAAAUAAAUACAAAAUUAGUUUAUUUAUUUUAAAAUUUGUAUAAUACAGUAUAUACAAACCUAAUAUAAUCUUAGACUUUAGACUAUGUGAUCUGCAAUUUCCAAAACUCGCCAGAAUUACUAACCAUGGCGAUGAAUUAAGUAUGCAAUAUAAGGUCGUUAUGCCAAUUAAUUAUCACAUUAGAUACCAAUUGUGAGAAAGGAAUGGUUCUAAAAUUCUAAUUAAGCAUAGUCACUUCUCAAUACAUACAAAGAAAAAAUUAGAGAUCGUAAACAAAUAUAAUUUGAUCGCAUUAUUAAUGAAUUAACGGAUCUAGGAUACCUAACACGUUACACACAUUAUUUUCUUAAUAAUACUUGGUAUCCCAUUCGAGGUAGAAUAGUCUUUUUAUAUUAUAGCAAGAACCAAAAACUCGGUCCCUCUAUUUCCACAAGAAGGUCACGAAACUCUCUAUGGACUAAAAAGACACACUAUCAAAAAUAUCAAUCGUAUGAUGAUGAUAUAAAAUUGAUGGUGGAAUGAUGGCGCACGUGACAAUAACUACAGUGGGGGAGCGUCGGUCACGUGAGAAAGCUGGAUUGCCUCAGAAACGAAGAAGACGCUCCACCUCUGCCUAACUAGUAACAAUCCAAAAUCAUAUAAAUAAACCAUACGAUAUGUAACAUUUUCCUUUUAAAAUAAAUAUGUUACAUGAUAUCAGCAUGUAUGUAGAUAAGUUUCUGUAACGAGUAAAAAAUAAAUAAUUACAGUGCCCAUCUAGUCUGUGCCAUGUUUUGAAUUCCUUUGGGGCUUAGUGCCCAUCUAAGUGGAACCUUUGACUGUCAAGUUUUUUUACGAUUCCAAGACGGUCAAACUUUGACCAAAUACUUCUAUUUACGUGUGUCUGAUUUAUAACUUUGGUACAGCUUGGAUAAGUAACAUUUUUCAUUUUAAGAUUUAUAUUUGUGGAGUGUAGCAACUAACAAGUGUUAGGUGGGAAGCAUCAUCGUUUUAGCGAGAGAAAAUAAGUAUACGAAUAUGUUUUUUUACAUAAAAAAUAUAUUAUUUUAUAUUUGUACACACAAAUUAAAAAAUAUAUUUAAUUUUAUAUAUUUUCUAUAUAAAAGUAUGAUUAACUAUACAACUAACUAUAUUUUAACCAAUAGAAAAUAAACUAAAAAAUAAAAUUAAUAAAUUUAAACUAUUAAAAGAAAAGUACAAUUUGUACUUAACCCAGACUUUUCCACAAUAAUUACUAAUUUAUGCCAUUCAUCAAAACACAGUAGUUUUAUACUUUUGCUAUCACAAUAAUUACUUUUCCUAAAUAUUUACGAUCCUUUACCACUGAAUCCAAAACACAGUCAUUUUCUUGAAAACUUUCAGAUUCUGGGUACCUCCAUCCGAUAAUUACUCAGUUCUAAGCCGCCUUCUUUUGCCACUUCUGACGAGGUCUCAGAAACCUAUAAUUGAAUCGAGAGUUUAUGUAUAACAUCGAUUUAGAUAUUUACAAAAAAAAUUGUAACAGUUUAAAAGGUAUGAUUAUAGGAUGGUUGCUUUUGUUGGUUUGAUUUGCCAUGUAAAGAUGUUCAAUCACCAUCGACGUUGGGACAUGGUCAGUUUCAUCUCUUUGUUUCAAUACAGGAAAUUUCUGACUGGUUUAUAUAAAGAAUUAGAGGAAGAAAGAAGCGCUUCGGUGGAUGCAUAUAUAGAUGCUGGUAAGGGAGGUGAACUGGCACAUGAGGAAACAAUGAUUAUAAUUGGAGCCCUGGUUUAAGCGAGAAGUUCUGAUUUACUGAUGCAGGAGACUGCGAAUGGAGGACGACUGAUUUACUGAUGCUUACUUUCAUUUUGUCGUCAUCCAGUUUGGAACACACUUAACUUACACUGCUUCGAGAUUACUUCAACUGGUUUCAUUCAUACGCUUCCAUUUCUUGGAAGUUCAGAGUGGUGAGGAAGUUAUGUGCCAAUUGAAUCAAUGUUUUUCAUUCUGACAGAGAAAUAAACUCAAAAACCAAAAAUUAGUCAACUUACUUUGUUCAAAAAAAAGUUCUUUUACAUAAGUUUUUGUAGUUUCCCUUUUUGUUGGUUAGUGGUGGGCGUGGUCCAGUUCUACUCUAAACUCUAAAGUCCAUUCGAGUUAUUACGUUUUGUUAGCCUGUUUAUUUUUAAUACAUAUUAUAACUUUUGUAACUUUUGUUGACAUAUAUAAAGAAAAAUAUAAAUAUAUAUAAUCUAAUUUAAUUAAAUGAUCUUUAAAUUUAUGAUUUAAUAAUCUAAAUUUAAAUCUUGCAUAUUAAUUAAUAUAUAGAUCACUACAUAAUUGACUAACAUUUUGAUGAUAUAUAGAGAAGCUAAUAUCAAAUUUUGAAAAUAAAUCUGUGUACAAGAGUAUUUGAUCACAAAUUUUAAAAGCUAAUUAAAACUUGUAGAAAUAAUAAAUAAUAGUUUGAUAAUAACUAACAAUAUAAAAAUUAUAAGUAAAUAUUCAAUUUGUAUAUGAUAUAUAAAUUAAAUCUUCAAUAAUCUUUAAACAUGUUAUAUUAUGAGUAUCUUUUUAAACUAACUAAUCCUAUGUAUUUUUAAUAAAAUAAAUAUAUAAUAGGAACUAUAUAAUGUAAUAUGUGCUUCAAAGGAAUAAAUUAAAAUUUUACAUGCAAGUUUUAAAACUAUGAGUUUGGAGAUAUUCAUUUCAAAUUAUUAAAUUUUGAAUUAUAUAGACGACCAAUUACAUAGAAUAAUAUACAUUAAUUUAAAAAAACACUCGCACGAAUAUGUGGGUCAAACUCUAAUUUUUGCUUAAAAGACAGAUUAGCUGCGGUAGUAUACUUAAUUAGAUUAAAUAAAAACUAUAUAUUAUAGUCAUUUUAACUUAAAAAGGUCAAAUCUUUUGAAGCUAAAUCAUAAAUCCAAAUACAUGCAUGAUGUAUUCACACAAAAACUCUCUGCCACCUUCAAAUAGUUGUGUUAUGAAAUAUUUAUAUAAUUAUUGAAAACAAACACCCGUGCGGACGCACGGGUCGGAAUCUAGUUACGUAUUAAAAUGCUAAAAUGAUAUUUGUUUUGCAACAAAUUUUUUUAUCUAUAACGACACUUGAUAUGAAACGGAGGAAGUAUGAUUCUAAAUAUGAUCAUUUUUAUAUAAGUUGUACAUCGUCUAUUACAAAUAUGAUAGUGAUACUCUGCCGUGCACAUAAGAGUAAAACAAAUUAUCAGCCAGCUGCCUGGAAAGAAGUAUCAGCCAGCUAACUGCCUAACAAAUACUCGCAAUUACAUUAACCAUAAAUGUCAUCUGUAAAAAAUGUCAUGUUUGAUCCACUAUACGUAUAAGAUGAAUAUUGAAAAUAAAAAAUGAAUAAUUACAUCACAGCUUAUCCAAAUUAAAUAAAUGAAAUCUUGAAACUCGUGUGAACUCAAGUUCACGCUUUAGAGUCACCAGUCUACCUCGAAUUAUAUAAUGUUAUACUGCUCAUUUAUUUGUUACACAUUCAUCUAACUCAUAUAGUAUAUAUUAAAAGCAUAAUCGCUAAAAAUGUAAACAAUUAAGAACUUUAUAACUUACACAUCUAUUGGCCUUCCUUUCAUAAUUGAUAAAUAUCUCCGAAUAGUUGUUUGUAGCUUGGUUUAUGAAUAC